Molecule: transfer RNA, 76 nt
Filed under: Alphaproteobacteria bacterium ADurb.Bin438
Lineage: Bacteria; Pseudomonadati; Pseudomonadota; Alphaproteobacteria
Description: tRNA-Ala
Rfam family: tRNA
About the family: Transfer RNA (tRNA) molecules are approximately 80 nucleotides in length. Their secondary structure includes four short double-helical elements and three loops (D, anti-codon, and T loops).
Source: RNAcentral
GGGGAUAUGGCGCAGUUGGUAGCGCGUUUGAAUGGCAUUCAAAAGGUCACGGGUUCGACUCCCGUUAUCUCCACCA